AUUGAACGCUAGCGGGAUGCCUUACACAUGCAAGUCGAGCGGUAGCACAGGGAGCUUGCUCCUGGGUGACGAGCGGCGGACGGGUGAGUAAUGUCUGGGAAACUGCCUGAUGGAGGGGGAUAACUACUGGAAACGGUAGCUAAUACCGCAUAAUGUCGCAAGACCAAAGAGGGGGACCUUAGGGCCUCUUGCCAUCAGAUGUGCCCAGAUGGGAUUAGCUAGUAGGUGGGGUAACGGCUCACCUAGGCGACGAUCCCUAGCUGGUCUGAGAGGAUGACCA
Molecule: ribosomal RNA, 280 nt
Filed under: uncultured bacterium
Lineage: Bacteria
Description: partial 16S ribosomal RNA
Rfam family: Bacterial small subunit ribosomal RNA
Source: RNAcentral